This 19-nucleotide small nuclear RNA is filed under the name Arabidopsis thaliana (thale cress). RNAcentral's name for it is "snRNA_11307". The record is from RNAcentral. Lineage: Eukaryota; Viridiplantae; Streptophyta; Magnoliopsida; Brassicales; Brassicaceae.
GGCGGGUAGAAUCCUUUGC